CUCUCGGCAACGGAUAUCUCGGCUCUCGCAUCGAUGAAGAACGUAGCGAAAUGCGAUACCUGGUGUGAAUUGCAAAUCCCGUGAACCAUCGAGUCUUUGAACGCAAGUUGCGCCCGAGGCCAUCCGGCUAAGGGCAUGCUUGCCUGGGCGUCAC
This 154-nucleotide ribosomal RNA is filed under the name Musa acuminata (dwarf banana). Its description in RNAcentral is "5.8S ribosomal RNA". It matches the Rfam family "5.8S ribosomal RNA". From Rfam's summary of the family: 5.8S ribosomal RNA (5.8S rRNA) is a component of the large subunit of the eukaryotic ribosome. It is transcribed by RNA polymerase I as part of the 45S precursor that also contains 18S and 28S rRNA. The record is from RNAcentral. Lineage: Eukaryota; Viridiplantae; Streptophyta; Magnoliopsida; Zingiberales; Musaceae.